AUGACUAGGGAUAACCUUAGGAAGAGACACAUCAUCAAACCCCUUGAUUGUGUUUACUGCUUGGAACAAGAGUCUUGUUCUCACCUAUUUUUUGAAUGUAUAGUUGCUAAACAUCUCUGGGCCCACAUUGAGGAAUAUUUCUCUAGUCAGAUUGGCUCAUCCUUCGAAUCUGUCACCAGAUUCUGGAUUGCUACCAAAAAGUGCUCAGUUUUAAACACUGUUAGCUCAGCUGUCCUUUGGUGCCUCUAGAAAUAUAGAAAUGCUAUGAUUUUCAGUAACACCUCCUGGAUUUCCAUUCCGCAGGUCUUGAGGUUGAUCAGGAACAUGGUGAGGAACUGGGCGAUUCUCUCCUCCGGAUCGGACAAGGACAAGUUGAUGAGCUUCGUGGAAACCCUAACAAGAUCCCUCCAGAAACCGUUGGCGAUCACUUGUGGCUGA
RNAcentral lists this ribosomal RNA (438 nucleotides) under Triticum aestivum (bread wheat). Its description in RNAcentral is "partial small subunit ribosomal RNA". Lineage: Eukaryota; Viridiplantae; Streptophyta; Magnoliopsida; Poales; Poaceae. The record is from RNAcentral.